GGGGGAGGGGGGAGGGGGAAGGGGGGGGGGCGAAUUUUUCUUUCUUAAUCAUGAUCUUCUUCUUCAUUUACUAAAAAAAAUACCCCAAGAACAAUCACCAUUGACAAAAUCCUUUUCAAGAAACUUCCAUCGUCACUCUCACACGCAUCUCUCUCAUGACACACACAUACACUCGUCAGAAAAAGAAUGAGGAAAAGUAAAUGAAUCCGGUCGACCUCAAGCUUUCCGGCUACUAAUUUGUCAGAAUCGGCUACUGUUUCACCGAAUUCAAACACAACUGACCCAUAGCUCGCUCAACUUGAUUCCGGGGAUGGGCCCAUCGAUUUUCGAACUCACCGACCUUCUUCAUAUUAAAAUCGAUCUAUUUUUGAGCGGUUUAAGUACAGAUUGGAGUUCGAAGGUUAUCGGGUUGGAUUUGGAUCAUAGUCAAGAUUUUAUGAUAUUCUUUGAGGUUCCGGGACGACUUUAUUCUCUUCUUAAUCAAUCAAGAACAUUCGGGAGGUCCAUCUCUAUAACUCUUGUUCCUUAUUUCAUCUUUAUUUGGUAUAAUGAUGUUGUGAUUAUGUGUGUGAUAAGUAUGAUUGUUGGAUUUGGUUGAUGUCAUGAUUAUGUGCUUAACGGUGAUAUGUGAAACGAAUUAGAGUAAUUUUGGUGUAAUUGAUAAAAACGAAGCUAGCGGGGGGUGGAAUUGAGAAAUUGAUAAAAGAUGAAUGUAGAUUAAUUUUUAUUUGUUGUCUUUUUGUUUAAUUCGAAAUAAGCAUGGAUGUGAUAGAUUUAUGAUAUGUUGAAAUGGAUAGGCAAUAUAGGUUCGGGUAGGCAAAAUUUAGGAGUGAUGUGUUGAUUGAAUGCUUUGAAUAUUUGAAUGUGUGUUUUGAACAUGUUUUUUAGCUAGCUUAUUUAAUUCGGGUGUAUUUAUUCGGUCGGGGAAUGUCCCGAGACACAUUGUAUUUAUUCAUCGGGGAAUGCCCCGACAUAUUAUGUUGGUGAAAAAUGAUCGUAAUGAAGGCCCGCAGCGUCGGGUAAGGAAUUGGAGCUUUAGUCUAGGAUAGUAUAGAAUAGGAUUUAUAUUUUUCGCAUUUUUCUACUUUGGACUGUAUAACUGGAUUGGACAUUAUUAUUUUAAUUUUGGAUUGUUAUUUGAUGUGUUUGUUGCUUGUUUUACGUGUUUGAUGUGGUUUAUACAUUCAUAGUGUCAAGUUAGCCGAAAUGCUCCACCAACCGACCAUGGUCGAACCACGGGAUCGAGGGGUGCGUAACACCUUUUCCUCGAUCAACAGAAUUUCUUUGCCAGAAUAUCUGUUCGUGGAUCAGUUUUAAAGAGUCAAACUUGUAUCUUUUUGGUCAAAAAAGGGGGUGUGACAGCUCUGAAGACUCUGCUAGAAAAUUUUUAGAAUUCGAGCUUAUUUGGGGAGUUGUAUCGACUUAGUUUGACAUCAUAGGUGUAUAAACGUUGUUUGUGUUAUUGUUUUUGUCACACCCCUUUUUUUAACUCCAAAAAGAUUCAUUUUUAAGUUUGAAAGGGUUUUUAUUAUCAAAGUGAUAAAAGAUGAAAAUUUGUUUCGAAAAAGGAUUAUUUACAUUUUUUAUUCAGAAUCGCCACUUGGCAUAAUCCGGUGAGUCAAGUCACCUUUGGAGAAUCCUUUUCGAAAUGAUUUGACUCUUUAAAACUGAUCUGCGAACAAAGAUUCUGACUAAGUAAUUCUGUUGACCGAGGGGAAGGUGUUAGGCAUCCCUCAAUCCCGCGGUUCGACCACGGUCGCUUGGUGGAGCACAUCGGCUAAUUUGACACUAUAAAAUGUAUAAACCAUAUAAACACACAAGAAUAAGCAAAUAAUCAAAUAAAAUUCAAAACCAAAAUAAUGUUUAGUCCGAAUUACACAAUCCAAAAAUAGAAAAAUACGAAAAAUAUAAAUCCUAUUCUAAACUAAUCCUAGACUAAGCUCCACUGCUUUAUCUGACGCCUCGGGCCUUCAUCACGAACCUAUUUUACAUACAUGAUAUAUCGGGACAUUCCCCGGAUAAAUCAAUACAAAUUCCUCGAGGCAUUCCCCGGUCAAAUGAGGACAUUUUAAUGCGAUAAAAAUGGAAAAAAUCACUCAACACAAACAUUUACACAUUCGAUGAUUAGAAUCCUACGAGUUGCCUACCCCAAAACCUAGAACUUGCCUAUUAAUUUAACGGCCUAAUCAUGCUACUAUCGUGUUCAAACAAUAUUCAUACUUAAAUCAAAUUAAACUAAAAUCUUAAUGAAUCCAAAUUCAUCCUUUUUACCAAUUUCUCAAUUCCGCCCCAAACAAACAAUUUUAAUUCUCAAACGAGAUACCAUUUCACCAAACCAUAGUUAAGCAAACCAAUCACUGUUCAAAAUCAACACGCAUUCAUCACCAAUAAGGACCAAACAACACGCAAUAUUCAAUCCAACACACCAAACAUAAUAAACAAUGAAAUAAAAAGAGGGAAAGAGUAGAAUUGAACCUCAAUGCCGCUUUCAAGAUCGAUGUAUUAUUUCAAUUAAAUCUGGUAGGAUCCGUGUCCUAAAUCCUCGAGUUGAACCUCAACAACGAACCAACCAAGCUUCGGUUUUACCCUUUUGUUUGUUUUCUUUCCAAAACCCAAAUCACAAACAGAUUUUGACUUUGAAGACGAAAACGAUGGCAAAACCCAAGUGCGAAAACAAGCCUAGACCCAAAUAAUUUAGCAAAGGACAGGAACCCGAUACUGAAUGGAUGACCAAGAUUGUCGUCGAUGGUGGUUUUUCUGUUCGCAACUAGUCGGAACAGUGACUUUUCAGUGAUGGCGUUGAGUUUUGGUAUGAGAUCAAGGGAAGUGCAACAGGUUGAGCUCACGACUUUAGGUUUGCCGAACUACGGUAAGAUCGACAGAGAUGAAAUAGAGGAGGAAAUGAUCGAUAAUGACGUUUCUCGGUGACCCCUGACAUUUUUCCGAUCAGAUUUCGGUGGAAUUGCGCCGAUUUCGUUGUUUCUUCACCAAAUUUCUCAAAAACCCUUCAUCCUUUUGUUACUCUCUCUCUUCUCCUCACUCUCUUUGCUCAAUCUUUACCCCAUUUUUGAUUCUCCGAUCAAGAUGUGCGUGUGAGUAUAUUGAUUUGUUCUAGGCGUAAUGUUGUUGUGGGUGUACACUGGUAAGUAUAUCAGUGUUUUUAUGUCCCUCUCUACUCUAUGUGUGUGCUUUACUGUGUGUAGAAGAGAAAGAAAAAAAACCCCUCUCCGUCCAGUGAGGUGCUUUAUAUAUGAGAAUGGUGAGUGUGUGUAAUCUUUCUCUCCAUUUGUGUGUAAUCUCUAGAAAAGAAUGGAGAAGAAUCGUGUAUCUCCAUAUGGAAAAUGGAAGUCCUCCCUAAUCUUCCCUGUG
Capsicum annuum is the source of this 3369-nucleotide long non-coding RNA. RefSeq lists it as uncharacterized. The transcript is spliced from 2 exons. NCBI's taxonomy places the organism in Eukaryota, Viridiplantae, Streptophyta, Magnoliopsida, Solanales, Solanaceae. The record is from RefSeq and is a predicted model, not a curated record.